UGUCCUACGGGGGGCAGCAGUGGGGAAUAUUGGGCAAUGGAGGCAACUCUUACCCAGCAAUGCCGCGUGAACGAAGAAGGUCUUCGGAUUGUAAAUUUCUUUAAUUGGGGACGAAAAAAAUGACGGUACCCAAGGAAUAAGCCACGGCUAACUACGUGCCAGCAGCCGCGGUAAUACGUAGGUGGCAAGCGUUAUCCGGAUUUAUUGGGUGUAAAGGGCGUGUAGGCGGGAAUGCAAGUCAGAUGUGAAAACUAUGGGCUCAACCCAUAGCCUGCAUUUGAAACUGUAUUUCUUGAGUGCUGGAG
Molecule: ribosomal RNA, 305 nt
Filed under: uncultured bacterium
Lineage: Bacteria
Description: bacterial SSU rRNA
Rfam family: Bacterial small subunit ribosomal RNA
Source: RNAcentral